AGGGGAAUGGUGUUAACGGUAGCAUGGCGGUCUCCAAAACCGUUGGUGGGGGUUCAAAUCCCUCUUCCCCUGCCA
This 75-nucleotide transfer RNA is filed under the name Anaerolineales bacterium. RNAcentral's name for it is "tRNA-Trp". It matches the Rfam family "tRNA". From Rfam's summary of the family: Transfer RNA (tRNA) molecules are approximately 80 nucleotides in length. Their secondary structure includes four short double-helical elements and three loops (D, anti-codon, and T loops). Further hydrogen bonds mediate the characteristic L-shaped molecular structure. tRNAs have two regions of fundamental functional importance: the anti-codon, which is responsible for specific mRNA codon recognition, and the 3' end, to which the tRNAs corresponding amino acid is attached (by aminoacyl-tRNA synthetases). tRNAs cope with the degeneracy of the genetic code in two manners: having more than one tRNA (with a specific anti-codon) for a particular amino acid; and 'wobble' base-pairing, i.e. permitting non-standard base-pairing at the 3rd anti-codon position. The record is from RNAcentral. Lineage: Bacteria; Bacillati; Chloroflexota; Anaerolineae; Anaerolineales.